AACGAACGCUGGCGGCAGGCCUAACACAUGCAAGUCGAACGCCCUAGCAAUAGGGAGUGGCAGACGGGUGAGUAACGCGUGGGAACGUACCCUUCGGUUCGGAAUAACCCAGGGAAACUUGGACUAAUACCGGAUACGUGCGAGAGCAGAAAGAUUUAUCGCCGAAGGAUCGGCCCGCGUCCGAUUAGCUAGUUGGUGAGGUAAUGGCUCACCAAGGCGACGAUCGGUAGCUGGUCGAGAGGAUGAUCAGCCACAC
RNAcentral lists this ribosomal RNA (256 nucleotides) under uncultured bacterium. RNAcentral's name for it is "partial 16S ribosomal RNA". It matches the Rfam family "Bacterial small subunit ribosomal RNA", at positions 29 to 313 of the family's 1533-position model. The record is from RNAcentral.